UCCAGUUUCGACUUUCUUUAAUCUCCUUCUCUUUUGUCCCAACUUUUAUAAGUAUGAUAAGAAGUGGGAGUCAGAUCGUGGUUUCGUAUUUUACGAUUACAAGGAUGAAUCCAAU
RNAcentral lists this non-coding RNA (115 nucleotides) under Ochromonas sp. CCMP1393. Lineage: Eukaryota; Chrysophyceae; Chromulinales; Chromulinaceae. The record is from RNAcentral.